This 611-nucleotide long non-coding RNA is filed under the name Phoenix dactylifera (date palm). Its description in RNAcentral is "long non-coding RNA (PDAC_LNC018630)". The record is from RNAcentral. Lineage: Eukaryota; Viridiplantae; Streptophyta; Magnoliopsida; Arecales; Arecaceae.
GGGUUCUAGAGAAGAAGAGGAUUGGGAUCCUACUUCUUGUGCAAAGGAAAUUCUGUGUGAAUCUCUUGUAGAGCGAUCUCGUGUGAUCGUUCGGGUGUGUGCCAUCUCUGUAAUCAAUUCAUCCUAGUUGAGAUUUGGAGCGGUGGAGGACGUAGGCUAUUUGUAGCCGAACCUCGUUACAUCUUUGUGUUUGCUUUGCUAUCUUCUUCUUCCUUCUUCUUUUGUGUUUGAUAAUCCGCUGCGGUGCUCAAGUGCUUUACCCUUACUGAUACCAGGGUAAUCUUUUGCCCUUCGUACGGAUAAGCGAAGAGGUGAUCCUUGAGUCCGGUGUCGAGGGAGCGAGAGAGUUAUUCUCUCUUUGUUUUCCGACGUUGGUGGGCAGUGCCGGUGUGAGUGGGUUCCGGUGCGGGUCGCUGCCAACAAGCCCCCCGCGGGGUGCGGGACCCCCGAUCGGCGUGUGAGGGACGGGCGUCCGGGCGGGCCCCGUUUCCAACUUCCCUCGGAACAUUAAAACCCCCCGACCCCCUCGGUCUUCGCUCCGACCCUAUCGCUAUUGCUCGGAUAUGUGCAUCCACCGUCCCUCGUUGCCUUCGGUUAUCUACCCCAGGGUG